AGUGAACGCUGGCGGUAGGCCUAACACAUGCAAGUCGAACGGCAGCACAGUAAGAGCUUGCUCUUACGGGUGGCGAGUGGCGGACGGGUGAGGAAUACAUCGGAAUCUACUUUUUCGUGGGGGAUAACGUAGGGAAACUUCCGCUAAUACCGCAUACGACCUACGGGUGAAAGCAGGGGAUCUUCGGACCUUGCGCGAUUGAAUGAGCCGAUGUCGGAUUAGCUAGUUGGCGGGGUAAAGGCCCACCAAGGCGACGAUCCGUAGCUGGUCUGAGAGGAUGAUCAGCCACACUGGAACUGAGACACGGUCCAGACUCCUACGGGAGGCAGCAGUGGGGAAUAUUGGACAAUGGGCGAAAGCCUGAUCCAGCCAUACCGCGUGGGUGAAGAAGGCCUUCGGGUUGUAAAGCCCUUUUGUUGGGAAAGAAAAGCAGCAGGUUAAUACCCCGCUGUUCUGACGGUACCCAAAGAAUAAGCACCGGCUAACUUCGUG
RNAcentral lists this ribosomal RNA (492 nucleotides) under uncultured bacterium. RNAcentral describes it as "partial 16S ribosomal RNA". It matches the Rfam family "Bacterial small subunit ribosomal RNA", at positions 29 to 507 of the family's 1533-position model. The record is from RNAcentral.